GCUACAGGGACUGCAACAUUCUAACAGCGUAAUAAAAACCACUGAUACAUAUACGGGGGUGAGAAGCAGACAUGAAAUAUCCCUUUGAGAAAGUUCGAAAGGAAACCAUUCAGGGAUUUCACCAUGAGGCCAAUGGUGACUUUAAAACAGAGUUUAAUGGCUGUGAUAGGAGAAAACUGAGACUGGAUCAACAACAAGCAACAUGUCCUCAUCUGGGAUCCGUAACUCACAAGCUCUUGGUUCACGGUACGCCGAUCUUCCUGCUACGCCACCGUGUCCGUGUCAGGAAAACCCUUACAGAAUCACCCACCACAACAGGACCAAGCGGCGUGGUAACCGGCAACAGCAACACCGGCGCAAAGAGGAAUGGACAUGGGACGAUGUAUUGGACGGCAAGGGUUGCUACACCUGGGAGGAGAUCCUGGCGGAAAAGGAUCGCCUUCCAUGGGAACAGGUAGAGGCAGCUAGGAGAGCAGAGGCAGCCGGAGAGAGGAGCCGGCGAUAUGAGG
Long non-coding RNA from Oncorhynchus tshawytscha (Chinook salmon), 509 nucleotides. The record is from Ensembl. Lineage: Eukaryota; Metazoa; Chordata; Actinopteri; Salmoniformes; Salmonidae.